ACAACCGUAACCACAUAUUAAAACAUUUUACCACCCAAGUAUAGGUGAUAGAAAAGGUUUCCAGAGCAAUAGAAAAAGUACCGCAAGGGAAAGCUGAAAAAGAAAUGAAAUAAUCCAACAAAGCGGAAAAAAGCAGAGACUAAAACUCGUACCUUUUGCAUCAUGAUCUAGCAAGAAAGCCCAAGCAAAGAGAACUUAAGUUUGACCCCCCGAAACCAGGGGAGCUACUCCGAAGCAGCCCAAAGGGGCAAACCCGUCUCUGUGGCAAAAGAGUGGAGAGACUUCCGAGUAGAGGUGAUAAGCCUACCGAACCUGGUGAUAGCUGGUUGCUCAGAAACUGAAUAUAAGUUCAGCGCUAUAAUAUUCUAACCUUAUUCACAAAAAGAACAAGCAAGAUAUAGCAGUUAAUCAAAAGGGGUACAGCCCUUUUGAUAAAGGAUACAACCUUACUAAGGAGGAAAAGGACAAUUAUCGCAAGGUACUUCCCCCAGUGGGCCUAAAAGCAGCCACCUG
RNAcentral lists this ribosomal RNA (513 nucleotides) under Gymnothorax fimbriatus (fimbriated moray). RNAcentral describes it as "partial 16S ribosomal RNA". It matches the Rfam family "Bacterial large subunit ribosomal RNA", at positions 205 to 1122 of the family's 2925-position model. The record is from RNAcentral. Lineage: Eukaryota; Metazoa; Chordata; Actinopteri; Anguilliformes; Muraenidae.